AGAGUUUGAUCCUGGCUCAGGACGAACGCUGGCGGCGUGCCUAACACAUGCAAGUCGAACGGAGUGUUGCGCUGAAAUUGAGAUUAGCUUGCUAAAGGAAAUUUCUUGUAACACUUAGUGGCGGACGGGUGAGUAACGCGUGAGGAACCUGCCUUACAGAGGGGGACAACAGUUGGAAACGACUGCUAAUACCGCAUGAUGUGGAAGAAAGACAUCUUUCUUUCACCAAAGGAGCAAUCCGCUGUAAGAUGGCCUCGCGUCUGAUUAGAUAGUUGGUGGGGUAACGGCCUACCAAGUCGACGAUCAGUAGCCGGACUGAGAGGUUGAACGGCCACAUUGGGACUGAGACACGGCCCAGACUCCUACGGGAGGCAGCAGUGGGGGAUAUUGCACAAUGGAGGAAACUCUGAUGCAGCAACGCCGCGUGAGGGAAGAAGGUUUUCGGAUUGUAAACCUCUGUUUUUAGUGAAGAAACAAAUGACGGUAGCUAAAGAGGAAGCCACGGCUAACUACGUGCCAGCAGCCGCGGUAAUACGUAGGUGGCAAGCGUUGUCCGGAAUUACUGGGUGUAAAGGGUGCGCAGGCGGGAUUGCAAGUUGGAUGUGAAAUACCGGGGCUUAACCCCGGAGCUGCAUCCAAAACUGUAGUUCUUGAGUGGAGUAGAGGUAAGCGGAAUUCCGAGUGUAGCGGUGAAAUGCGUAGAUAUUCGGAGGAACACCAGUGGCGAAGGCGGCUUACUGGGCUCUAACUGACGCUGAGGCACGAAAGCAUGGGUAGCAAACAGGAUUAGAUACCCUGGUAGUCCAUGCUGUAAACGAUGAAUGCUAGGUGUGGGGGGACUGACCCCUUCCGUGCCGGAGU
RNAcentral lists this ribosomal RNA (861 nucleotides) under gut metagenome. Its description in RNAcentral is "bacterial SSU rRNA". It matches the Rfam family "Bacterial small subunit ribosomal RNA", at positions 8 to 852 of the family's 1533-position model. The record is from RNAcentral.